RNAcentral lists this small nucleolar RNA (53 nucleotides) under Pyrobaculum aerophilum str. IM2. RNAcentral's name for it is "PAEsR122". Lineage: Archaea; Thermoproteati; Thermoproteota; Thermoprotei; Thermoproteales; Thermoproteaceae. The record is from RNAcentral.
GUGACGGAGUCUCGGGGAGUAGCCGAGCGGUGACUUGGCGGUUAUCACGCUGA